This 292-nucleotide long non-coding RNA is filed under the name Phoenix dactylifera (date palm). RNAcentral describes it as "long non-coding RNA (PDAC_LNC013267)". Lineage: Eukaryota; Viridiplantae; Streptophyta; Magnoliopsida; Arecales; Arecaceae. The record is from RNAcentral.
CUGGUAGGAAAACAGAAAUCCCACACGACUAGGGUUUCUAGUGGGUACUGCGGUCCUACCGAUUUACAUGCCACCUCACCUAACAGUUAUUGGUGACACAUAGAUGGAUGAGUGUACAACUCUUGUACAAUGCUUCUCAAGCAUGUUGCAGUGUAACUUGGUCUCUAAGCCAUGAAAACCUCACCUAACAGUUAUUGGUCCCAUUUCUUAGUUAAGUCAGACCCACCGUAUAACCGUAGGAAUAAAGUCGUCAUUGGGUCCUCACCUAACAGUUAUUGGUGCCCAACCCCAC